Molecule: ribosomal RNA, 382 nt
Filed under: uncultured bacterium
Lineage: Bacteria
Description: bacterial SSU rRNA
Rfam family: Bacterial small subunit ribosomal RNA
Source: RNAcentral
AUUGAACGCUGGCGGCAGGCCUAACACAUGCAAGUCGAGCGGAUGAAGAGAGCUUGCUCUCUGAUUCAGCGGCGGACGGGUGAGUAAUGCCUAGGAAUCUGCCCUGGUAGUGGGGGACAACGUUUCGAAAGGAACGCUAAUACCGCAUACGUCCUACGGGAGAAAGCAGGGGACCUUCGGGCCUUGCGCUAUCAGAUGAGCCUAGGUCGGAUUAGCUAGUUGGUGAGGUAAUGGCUCACCAAGGCGACGAUCCGUAACUGGUCUGAGAGGAUGAUCAGUCACACUGGAACUGAGACACGGUCCAGACUCCUACGGGAGGCAGCAGUGGGGAAUAUUGGACAAUGGGCGAAAGACCUGAUCCAGCCAUGCCGCGUGUGUGAAG